GGGAAUUGCAGUCCGGUCGCGUUUAUCCUUCUUACCAGCGCGUUUUCAGUUUCAAAGGGAAACCUCUCCAUGAAACUGGAGCGCCUGGAGAAGGGGCCCAGAGCUAG
Chlorocebus sabaeus (green monkey) is the source of this 107-nucleotide microRNA precursor. Lineage: Eukaryota; Metazoa; Chordata; Mammalia; Primates; Cercopithecidae. The record is from Ensembl.